GAUGAAGAACGUAGUGAAAUGCGAUACGUAGUGUGAAUUGCAGAAUUCAGUGAAUCAUCGAAUCUUUGAACGCACAUUGCACCUCUCGGUAUUCCGGGAGGUAUGCCUGUUCGAGCGUCAUUUGUACCCUCAAGCUCUGCUUGGUGUUGGGUGUUUGUUCCGCCUCUGUGUGUGAACUCGCCUCAAAACAAUUGGCAGCCGGCGUACUUGUUUCGGAGCGCAGCACAUUUUGCGAUCCAGAUCAACGUACAGCGGCAUCCAAGAAGCCUUAUUUUUAACGCUCUUGACCUCGGAUCAGGUAGGGAUACCCGCUGAACUUAAGCAUAUCAAUAAGCGGAGGA
RNAcentral lists this unclassified non-coding RNA (341 nucleotides) under soil metagenome. Its description in RNAcentral is "partial contains 5.8S ribosomal RNA, internal transcribed spacer 2, and large subunit ribosomal RNA". The stretch from base 1 to 120 matches the Rfam family "5.8S ribosomal RNA", at positions 35 to 154 of the family's 154-position model. The record is from RNAcentral.